This is a long non-coding RNA of Oncorhynchus keta (chum salmon), 2767 nucleotides long. RefSeq lists it as uncharacterized. The record is from RefSeq and is a predicted model, not a curated record. The transcript has 3 exons. NCBI's taxonomy places the organism in Eukaryota, Metazoa, Chordata, Actinopteri, Salmoniformes, Salmonidae.
CUGGCUACGUCGGCGGGACUGACUGACUCAUCAUCCCCUCUGGCUACGUCGACUGGACUGACUGAACACUUCAGACUAGGCUUACUUGAAUUCACCUUAGCUGAUCCUGUGAGAGAACAUCUGUGGAAAUGGGCCUGUAAAAGCCAGGGAGUAACCCGAAAAAGACAAAAGCCAGGCCUGUAUAUUGCAGAGACAAUACUGUAGAGAGUGAGAGGUAGGGGCAGAUCCACAAAGAAUUAAGACAAUACUGUAGAGAGUGAGAGGUAGGGGCAGAUCCACAAAGAAUUAAGACAAUACUGUAGAGAGUGAGAGGUAGGGGCAGAUCCACAAAGAAUUAAGACAAUACUGUAGAGAGUGAGAGGUAGGGGCAGAUCCACAAAGAAUUAAGACAAUACUGUAGAGAGUGAGAGGUAGGGGCAGAUCCACAAAGAAUUAAGACAAUACUGUAGAGAGUGAGAGGUAGGGGCAGAUCCACAAAGAAUUAAGACAAUACUGUAGAGAGUGAGAGGUAGGGGCAGAUCCACAAAGAAUUAAGACAAUACUGUAGAGAGUGAGAGGUAGGGGCAGAUCCACAAAGAAUUAAGACAAUACUGUAGAGAGUGAGAGGUAGGGGCAGAUCCACAAAGAAUUAAGACAAUACUGUAGAGAGUGAGAGGUAGGGGCAGAUCCACAAAUAAUUAAGACUAUACUGUAGAGAGUGAGAGGUAGGGGCAGAUCCACACAGAAUUAAGACAAUACUUUUUUCAGCCAUAGAACUCUAUAUUGGAUCGGAGAUGGAGGUUUUAGGUGUAGAAUAUUGCAUUCGGUUUGCCUAACUAUGACCCAGACUAAACUAUAUGCCUGGGUUAACCUUGGGGAUGUGUCAGCGGAAUCAACAGAUGUCAGAUUGUAAUGGGCCACAAUCCAGUCAUUUAAAAUGUCAAACCAGGCCACAAGACCCAUUGGAAAUAGGAUAAUAUGUUCUACAUGCUCUCCUCUCAUGCACUUAGCCAUUUUCUCAGUAUCUGCUAUAUCUAAUGGAUAUUCAUGUGCAUUUUAUUGAUGAACUGGAAACAACCUUUUGAAUUUAUUUUAUUUUUACAGGGACAGUGCACAUUAAUCAACGUUUCAGUAAAAGUGUCGGUUUUAGCCAGCCGGCUAAUUUUCAACCGCAGUCCCUGGGCAGGUUAUUAAAAACAAUUACAAUAUAGACAAUCAUUGAGCAGUGAGCACAUGCAGAGCAACAUAGGACAAGCAAGACGUAGCAUACAAACAGAGCAACAUAGAACAAAAAGCAACAAGACAAAAUCCAUAAAAGAAACAGUGUUUCCACACCUCACAAGCUACAGACAACAUGGAAAGCGGCAACACACAGCUAGGGACCAUGUUCACAAAUCUGAUUGGUCUUUAGCCAUGUCUUCAUGUUUUUUGUGAAAGUGUGAUAGGUGGUGCAGUUAUGUGUGUCUGAUGGCAGUGUAUUCCAGACAUGGGAAGCUCUCACAGAGAAAGUGGAUUUACUAAAGGUGCUUUUCCUUAAGGGAACUAUACAGUCAACUCUCAUGGCAGACCUUGUGGAUCUGCUGCCAUAUGUUUGGGUUUUCUGUUUAACAAAAAUCAAAUCAAAUUUUAUUUGUCACAUACACAUGGUUAGCAGAUGUUAAUGCGAGUGUAGCGAAAUGCUUGUGCUUCUAGUUCUGACAAUGCAGUAAUAACCAACAAGUAAUCUAACAAUUCCUAAACUACUGUCUUAUACACAGUGUAAGGGGAUAAAGAAUAUGUACAUAAGGAUAUAUGAAUGAGUGAUGGCACAGAGCAGCAUAGGCAAGAUACAGUAGAUGGUAUCGAAUACAGUAUAUACAUAUGAGAUGAGUAUGUAAACAAAGUGGCAUAGUUAAAGUGGCUAGUGAUACAUGUAUUACAUAAGGAUGCAGUCGAUGAUAUAGAGUACAGUAUAUGCGUAUGAGAUGAAUAAUGUAGGGUAAGUAACAUUAUAUAAGGUAGCAUUGUUUAAAGUGGCUAGUGAUAUAUUUACAUCAUUCCCAUCAAUUCCCAUUAUUAAAGUGGCUGGAGUUGUGUCAGUGUGUUGGCAGCGGCCACUCAAUGUUAGUGGUGGCUGUUUAACAGUCUGAUGGCCUUGAGAUAGAAGCUGUUUUUCAGUCUGUCGGUUCCAGCUUUGAUGCACCUGCACUGACCUCGCCUUCUGGAUGAUAGCGGGGUGAACAGGCAGUGGCUCGGGUGGUUGAUGUCCUUGAUGAUCUUUAUGGCCUUCCCGUAACAUCGGGUGGUGUAGGUGUCCUGGAGGGCAGGUAGUUUGUCCCCGGUGAUGCGUUGUGCAGACCUCACUACCCUCUGGAGAGCCUUACGGUUGUGGGCAGAGCAGUUGCCGUACCAGGCGGUGAUACAGCCCGCCAGGAUGCUCUCGAUUGUGCAUCUGUAGAAGUUUGAGUGCUUUUGGUGACAAGCUGAAUUUCUUCAGCCUCCUGAGGUUGAAGAGGCGCUGCUGCGCCUUCUUCACGAUGCUGUCUGUGUGAGUGGACCAAUUCAGUUUGUCUGUGAUGUGUAUGCCGAGGAACUUAAAACUUGCUACCCUCUCCACUACUGUUCCAUCGAUGUGGAUAGGGGGGUGUUCCCUCUGCUGUUUCCUGAAGUCCACAAUCAUCUCCUUAGUUUUGUUGAGUGUGAGGUUAUUUUCCUGACACCACACUCCGAGGGCCCUCACCUCCUCCCUGUAGGCCGUCUCGUCGUUGUUGGUAAUCAAGCCUACCACUGUUGUCGUCCGCAAACUUGA